Molecule: ribosomal RNA, 466 nt
Filed under: Vreelandella stevensii
Lineage: Bacteria; Pseudomonadati; Pseudomonadota; Gammaproteobacteria; Oceanospirillales; Halomonadaceae
Description: partial 16S ribosomal RNA
Rfam family: Bacterial small subunit ribosomal RNA
Source: RNAcentral
CCUACGGGGCGGCAGCAGUGGGGAAUAUUGGACAAUGGGCGAAAGCCUGAUCCAGCCAUGCCGCGUGUGUGAAGAAGGCCUUCGGGUUGUAAAGCACUUUCAGUGGGGAAGAAAGCCUUGGGGCUAAUACCCUCGAGGAAGGACAUCACCCACAGAAGAAGCACCGGCUAACUCCGUGCCAGCAGCCGCGGUAAUACGGAGGGUGCGAGCGUUAAUCGGAAUUACUGGGCGUAAAGCGCGCGUAGGCGGUCUGAUAAGCCGGUUGUGAAAGCCCCGGGCUCAACCUGGGAACGGCAUCCGGAACUGUCAGGCUAGAGUGCAGGAGAGGAAGGUAGAAUUCCCGGUGUAGCGGUGAAAUGCGUAGAGAUCGGGAGGAAUACCAGUGGCGAAGGCGGCCUUCUGGACUGACACUGACGCUGAGGUGCGAAAGCGUGGGUAGCAAACAGGAUUAGAUACCCGAGUAGUC